This 26-nucleotide non-coding RNA is filed under the name Homo sapiens (human). The record is from RNAcentral. Lineage: Eukaryota; Metazoa; Chordata; Mammalia; Primates; Hominidae.
UGGAAAAGCAGUAUGGUGUGUCAUGU